Long non-coding RNA from Daphnia magna, 855 nucleotides. RefSeq lists it as uncharacterized. The record is from RefSeq and is a predicted model, not a curated record. The transcript is spliced from 3 exons. NCBI's taxonomy places the organism in Eukaryota, Metazoa, Arthropoda, Branchiopoda, Diplostraca, Daphniidae.
CUGGACAAAGUCGUAGCAGCAGAUUGAGAGAGGGGGGGGGAUUCAUAGAUCUCGGCUCACACCAGCGGAACGAUACGCGCUAGAACAAUGGCUGCCGUAACAGAAGACAAGCCCAAUCAUCAUUUCAUAUCCAUCACUUUGUCAAGUUCUCUGCGUCUACGAUCGAAAAGGACAUUUCCGUUGUGUAAACAUCUGUUCCCUCGAGGGAGCGAAAUCCACAUUUGAAAACUUGAAUAAUUUUGUUUUUUCUUUAAUCAUCUUGAUAAAUAUGCACGUUAAUCCUCACUCAAGGACAAAAAGUCUUUUUUUCUAUUCGAAAAAGAGAACAUUUUCAUGUAAAUUGUGUUGUUGACUAAGUUCUGAAUUCCCUAGACGCAAAAAUUUGGGAGGAAGGGGGAGAUUUUCAGAUCAACGGCGGCCAUCAUGGACUUCGCUUUCCCAAUUUUGCCACCCAGAGAAGGGGGUGAAGUCGACGACCUUGACACAUGCGAAAAUCACCCAACCAAAAUUUGUUUUUUUUUCCACUAAUUUGAUUGACGUUCAAGAAAACAUCCUUAGGCUAUCAUGAUGAUCUUAUUAUUUUACGACUUAAAUAUUAUUGUGAUGAUGAUGAGACUUUUAUAGACGUUUUGCUCAUUUUCCCACUACACACUUGACCAAGCUAAAUCGUAUGCAUAACGUCCAUUUGUGCCCUGCGGCUCGGCCGUAUGGAGGUGACAUUUUCAGCGCCACGUAAGUCGUCAUUUUUUCUUUAACAUGUUCCAUUUCUCUGUGUAUGUUUACAAGUUAGCCAGGUCGUGUUGACCACCGGUGAGAUGUAGGCAAUUUAUGCGACAAUAAACACCUUGGAAUAUA